UUUGUGCUCCUGUAAAACCAGAAAAGCAAAAAAAUUUAAUACACAUAGAAAUAUUGAAAUCAGAAAGUUGUCAGAGUUCCUGCACAUGACAGCAGGAGGAGAUACAGACAUUAACAAAUAUCAAGUAAUCACUGAGGUCUCUGCCAAACAGCUAAAACAUUAAGUUUUUAUGUCCAGAGAAACAGCAGAGGUUUUAUUUCUCCAAAAUGUUGCAAGCUCAACAUCAAGCCAACAUUAAAAACUAGCAUCAUAAACACGAAACAUGG
Long non-coding RNA from Thalassophryne amazonica, 266 nucleotides. RefSeq lists it as uncharacterized. Lineage: Eukaryota; Metazoa; Chordata; Actinopteri; Batrachoidiformes; Batrachoididae. The record is from RefSeq and is a predicted model, not a curated record. The transcript has 3 exons.